This 72-nucleotide transfer RNA is filed under the name Harpegnathos saltator (Jerdon's jumping ant). Its description in RNAcentral is "tRNA-Glu". It matches the Rfam family "tRNA". From Rfam's summary of the family: Transfer RNA (tRNA) molecules are approximately 80 nucleotides in length. Lineage: Eukaryota; Metazoa; Arthropoda; Insecta; Hymenoptera; Formicidae. The record is from Rfam by way of RNAcentral.
UCCGGUAUGGUCUAGUGGUUAGGAUAUCUGGCUUUCACCCAGGGGGCUCGGGUUCGAUUCCCGGUACCGGAA